RNAcentral lists this ribosomal RNA (444 nucleotides) under uncultured bacterium. RNAcentral describes it as "SSU rRNA". It matches the Rfam family "Bacterial small subunit ribosomal RNA", at positions 26 to 518 of the family's 1533-position model. The record is from RNAcentral.
AGAACGAACGCUGGCGGCAGGCUUAACACAUGCAAGUCGAACGCCCCGCAAGGGGAGUGGCAGACGGGUGAGUAACGCGUGGGAAUCUACCCAGUUCUACGGAAUAACACAGGGAAACUUGUGCUAAUACCGUAUACGCCCUACGGGGGAAAGAUUUAUCGGGAUUGGAUGAGCCCGCGUUGGAUUAGCUAGUUGGUGGGGUAAUGGCCUACCAAGGCGACGAUCCAUAGCUGGUCUGAGAGGAUGAUCAGCCACACUGGGACUGAGACACGGCCCAGACUCCUACGGGAGGCAGCAGUGGGGAAUAUUGGACAAUGGGCGCAAGCCUGAUCCAGCCAUGCCGCGUGAGUGAUGAAGGCCUUAGGGUUGUAAAGCUCUUUCAGUGGGGAAGAUAAUGACGGUACCACGAGAAGAACGCCCGGCUAACUUCGUGCCAGCAGCCGC